Hordeum vulgare subsp. vulgare (domesticated barley) is the source of this 828-nucleotide long non-coding RNA. RefSeq lists it as uncharacterized. Lineage: Eukaryota; Viridiplantae; Streptophyta; Magnoliopsida; Poales; Poaceae. The transcript has 3 exons. The record is from RefSeq and is a predicted model, not a curated record.
CUUCUUUCGUUUGUCCUCCCCGCAUCCAUUUUUCCUUCUUGUUUUGCACCUGUUGUCUGCUGUGUUUGUACAUGAAUGAUGAAUCUAGUUUCUUGCCAUGUCUCUGCUGCUACUUAUUGUGUAGCCAGGCCAUUGUACUUGCUGCCUUAUGGGUUGUUCCUUUCCUGUUAAUCUCUUCAGAAUCCUAAUCAUGUCCUGUCCGUUAUUAAUUUCAGAUGCUACCCCUAAGCCGGUUCUUCAGGUCAUUGGUGUGAAGGAGCUUACCAUAUUCCAAGUCAAGAGCCAUCUGCAGAUGUACAGAGGUCCGAGCACUUGCAACGAGAAGAAAGGUGAAGCACAAGUCAACUGGACAAGGGGACCAUGCCGUCGAAGUGUGCAUGCAUUGAUGGGCGCAGGCAGCAUGCAUGGCAGCUUUCGUCGUCAGUGUGCGUGCAUUGAUGGGCGCAGGCAGCGGUCGACCAAGGCGCGGGGCUCGCCUGUUGCGCUCCAGUGCCCCACUUGGUACGUACGUACCGCUGCGAUCAGUCAUGCCCUACUCUCUCGUAGGGAUUUUUUCACUGGUCUAACCUCUUGUUUGAAGUUGAGCAUAAAAUGAACCCAGUCUGAAAAGAUUUCAUGAUCGAUCCUUUUAGCGCCACAACCAGUGACGUUGCAGCUGCACGUAGAAACGCCACUCCACCGUGACGUUUCUGAUCUACAUUCAGACGCCAGUCCAACUCGCGUUGCAGGCCAGGUCAAAACGCCAAUGUCAUUGGCGUUGCCAUCCAGGCGACAAACGCCAUUAACCAUGGCGUUUCCAUCCAGGCAUCUUCGCUCCUUUGCAGUUCC